RNAcentral lists this ribosomal RNA (561 nucleotides) under uncultured Bauldia sp. Its description in RNAcentral is "bacterial SSU rRNA". It matches the Rfam family "Bacterial small subunit ribosomal RNA", at positions 979 to 1533 of the family's 1533-position model. The record is from RNAcentral. Lineage: Bacteria; Pseudomonadati; Pseudomonadota; Alphaproteobacteria; Hyphomicrobiales; Kaistiaceae.
CCUUGUAUCCCGGUCGCGGCCCUUUGAAAGAGGGGCCUUCAGUUCGGCUGGACCGGUGACAGGUGCUGCAUGGCUGUCGUCAGCUCGUGUCGUGAGAUGUUGGGUUAAGUCCCGCAACGAGCGCAACCCUCGCCCUUAGUUGCCAUCAUUUAGUUGGGCACUCUAAGGGGACUGCCGGUGAUAAGCCGCGAGGAAGGUGGGGAUGACGUCAAGUCCUCAUGGCCCUUACGGCCUGGGCCACACACGUGCUACAAUGGCGGUGACAAUGGGCAGCAAACCCGCAAGGGGGCGCUAAUCUCAAAAAGCCGUCUCAGUUCGGAUUGGAGUCUGCAACUCGACUCCAUGAAGUUGGAAUCGCUAGUAAUCGUGGAUCAGCACGCCACGGUGAAUACGUUCCCGGGCCUUGUACACACCGCCCGUCACACCAUGGGAGUUGGGUUUACCCGAAGGUGGUGCGCUAACCCGCAAGGGAGGCAGCCAACCACGGUAGGCUCAGCGACUGGGGUGAAGUCGUAACAAGGUAGCCGUAGGGGAACCUGCGGCUGGAUCACCUCCUUUCUG